UACGUAGGGUGCAAGCGUUGUCCGGAAUUAUUGGGCGUAAAGAGCUCGUAGGCGGUUUGUCGCGUCUGCUGUGAAAACCCGAGGCUCAACCUCGGGCCUGCAGUGGGUACGGGCAGACUAGAGUGCGGUAGGGGAGAUUGGAAUUCCUGGUGUAGCGGUGGAAUGCGCAGAUAUCAGGAGGAACACCAAUGGCGAAGGCAGAUCUCUGGGCCGUAACUGACGCUGAGUAGCGAAAGCAUGGGGAGCGAACAGG
RNAcentral lists this ribosomal RNA (253 nucleotides) under uncultured bacterium. Its description in RNAcentral is "partial 16S ribosomal RNA". It matches the Rfam family "Bacterial small subunit ribosomal RNA", at positions 524 to 776 of the family's 1533-position model. The record is from RNAcentral.